GUCCUGCCAGCAAAGAACCUGUAGAGAGGGAGACAGUGAAUAUACACUCUAAUCUUACUCUUGUCCUCCCUCUGAUUUCUUGACAGUGCCCGCUAUUGGCUGAAAACGGAAGGCUAAGGCACCUGUUGAUAAAGUCCACGCCGUUCUCCCUCUCAGGGCACAGAAAAGAGAAGCACGGAGAGUGGAUCUUCAGGGGAAAAUGGAAGGUCUUUAUCACAGCAAGUCUGAAGGACCCAUGAGGCCAGAGUGCCCGGAGCCUAGUAGGCAAACGAGUGAACAGCAGGAGAUGAGAGCAGUGAGGGCAAAAGAGACUUUGCUGAUGUGAUCAAGUAAUGGACUUUGAGAUGAGGAAGACUAUUCUGGAUUAUCCAGAUGAUCAUCUCAGUUGAAUGAAGAAACAACCAAAAUGGUGAAUUUGAAGAUUUCAAAUGAGAAGCAGUUUCCUUCCCUCAUAUUGAAGUGUAGGUACGGGUCUAGAGUGGCCUGGACCCUUCCCCACUAUACCUGAAUGUCCUGAGAAGGCGAUGUUUGUUCCCUCAUUGUAGAUGAAGAAACAGAGAUAUUAAAUAUAUUUAUAAGAUACUCCAAAUAACAGAAUGGAUCCAGCACUGAAACCCACUUUCCACCCUGCCCCCCCGCACAUUGCCUCAAAGGCUUUCAUAUAUAUGAAAUAUAUAUGCUUAAGAAAUCCAAGUAAAUUUGGAAGAGGGAUGAUUACGCACA
This 723-nucleotide long non-coding RNA is filed under the name Homo sapiens (human). RNAcentral describes it as "HSALNT0271173". Lineage: Eukaryota; Metazoa; Chordata; Mammalia; Primates; Hominidae. The record is from RNAcentral.